RNAcentral lists this ribosomal RNA (449 nucleotides) under uncultured bacterium. RNAcentral describes it as "partial 16S ribosomal RNA". It matches the Rfam family "Bacterial small subunit ribosomal RNA", at positions 329 to 794 of the family's 1533-position model. The record is from RNAcentral.
UACCAGACUCCUACGGGAGGCAGCAGUGGGGGAUAUUGCACAAUGGGGGGAACCCUGAUGCAGCGACGCCGCGUGGGUGAAGGAGCGUUUCGGCGCGUAAAGCCCUCUCGGCAGGGAAGAAGGAGGACGGUACCUGACUAAGAAGCCCCGGCUAACUACGUGCCAGCAGCCGCGGUAAUACGUAGGGGGCAAGCGUUAUCCGGGUUUACUGGGGGUAAAGGGGGCGCAGACGGCGGCGCAAGCCAGGAGUGAAAGCCCGGGGCCCAACCCCGGGACUGCUCUUGGAACUGCGCGGCUGGAGUGCAGGAGGGGCAGGCGGAAUUCCUGGUGUAGCGGUGAAAUGCGUAGAUAUCAGGAGGAACACCGGCGGCGAAGGCGGCCUGCUGGACCGUAACUGACGUUGAGGCUCGAAAGCGUGGGGAGCAAACAGGAUUAGAUACCCCAGUAGU